UACGAAGGGGGCUAGCGUUGCUCGGAAUCACUGGGCGUAAAGCGCACGUAGGCGGAUUGCUAAGUCAGGGGUGAAAUCCUGGAGCUCAACUCCAGAACUGCCUUUGAUACUGGUGAUCUUGAGUUCGGGAGAGGUGAGUGGAACUGCGAGUGUAGAGGUGAAAUUCGUAGAUAUUCGCAAGAACACCAGUGGCGAAGGCGGCUCACUGGCCCGAUACUGACGCUGAGGCACGAAAGCGUGGGGAGCAAACAGG
Molecule: ribosomal RNA, 253 nt
Filed under: uncultured bacterium
Lineage: Bacteria
Description: partial 16S ribosomal RNA
Rfam family: Bacterial small subunit ribosomal RNA
Source: RNAcentral